AGGGCGUAUGGCGGAUGCCUUGGCAUCAGGAGGCGAUGAAAGACGUGAUACACUGCGAUAAGCUUCGGGGAGCUGUGAAAUAAGCUUUGAUCCGGAGAUCUCUGAAUGGGGGAACCCAACUUCUUCGGAAGUUACUUUUAGGUGAAUUCAUAGCCUAUUAGAGCGAACGCAGGGAACUGAAACAUCUAAGUACCUGUAGGAAUAGAAAUCAAUUGAGAUACCGAAAGUAGUGGCGAGCGAAAUCGGUUAAGCCCAAACCGAGAGGAUUUAUCUUCUCGGGGUUGUGGGGCUACUCAUAACGGACCAUGAAGGCUAGUUGAACAUUCUGGAAAGGAUGACCAUAGAAAGUGAUAGUCUUGUAAGCGAAAGCUAGAGUGGCCAGAGUAGUACCCGAGUAGGGCGGGACACGUGUUAUCCUGUCUGAAUCUGGGAGGACCAUCUUCCAAGGCUAAAUACUACCUGAUGACCGAUAGUGAACAAGUACCGUGAGGGAAAGGUGAAAAGAACCCCGUUGAGGGGAGUGAAAUAGACCUGAAACCAUACGCCUACAAGCAGUCGGAGCAUUUUCGGAUGUGACGGCGUGCCUUUUGCAUAAUGAGCUAGCGAGUUAAUGAGACAAGCAAGGUUAAAAUGUUCAGCAUUGGAGCCGUAGUGAAAGCGAGCCUUAAUAGGGCGUUUAGUUUGUUUUAUUAGACCCGAAACCCAGUGAUCUAUCCAUGAGCAGGCUGAAGCUGGGGUAAAUCCUAGUGGAGGGCCGAACCCGUUGACGUUGAAAAGUCUUGGGAUGACUUGUGGAUCGGAGUGAAAGGCUAAUCAAACUGGGUGAUAGCUGGUUCUCCUCGAAAUAUAUUUAGGUAUAGCCUCGUGCGUUUCUUAACGGGGGUAGAGCACUGAUUGGGCUAGGGGUCCUACCAGAUUACCAAACCCACUCAAACUGCGAAUACCGUUACAGUUAAGCACGGGAGUCAGACUGCGGGAGAUAAGUUCCGUAGUCGAAAGGGAAAGAGCCCAGACCAUCAGCUAAGGUCCCAAAGAUUAUACUAAGUGGAAAACGUUGUGAGGAUGCGUAGACAGCCAGGAGGUUGGCUUAGAAGCAGCCAUCCUUUAAAGAUAGCGUAACAGCUCACUGGUCAAGUGUUCUUGCGCGGAAGAUUUAACGGGGCUUAAGUAUAACACCGAAGCUAUGGACUUAUGAUUUAUCAUGAGUGGUAGAGGAGCAUUGUAGCAACCUGUGAAGAUGUCUGGUGAUGGAUGUUGGAGGAACUACAAGAGCAUAUGCUAGCAUUAGUAGCGAUAAAACAAGUGAGAAACUUGUUCGCCGGAAGCCCAAGGUUUCCUGGGAAAGGGUAAUCCUCCCAGGGUUAGUCGGCACCUAAGGCGAGGCCGAAAGGCGUAGUCGAUGGACAACAGGUUAAUAUUCCUGUACUUGUCAGUGGAGUGAUGCAGGGGUGGAGAAAGGUAGCCAUGCCAGUUAUUGGAUUCUGGUUCAAGCAUGUAGGGAGAUCUUCUUGGUAAGUCCGGAAGGUCGUUAAUCCUGAGAUGUGAUGUGGUGGACUUCGGUCCUGAAGAUGGUGAUCCUAUGCUUACGAGAAAAGCUGCUAAACUUUGAAGCUGACAAACCGUACUGCAAACCGACUCAGGUGGGCAGGGAGAGAAUCCUAAGGCGUUUGAGUUAAACAUGGUUAAGGAACUCGGCAAAUUGACACUGAACCUUCGGAAUAAGGUGUGCCAGCAUUGUGUAGGGACUUGCUCCCGAAGCAUAGUCUGGUUGCAGAGAAGAGGGGGUAGCGACUGUUUAUCAAAAACAUAGCACUACGCAAAAUCGCAAGAUGAAGUAUGUGGUGUGACGCCUGCCCGGUGCUGGAAGGUUAAGAGGAGGGGUUAGUCUUCGGGCGAAGCUCCGAAUUGAAGCCCCAGUAAACGGCGGCCGUAACUAUAACGGUCCUAAGGUAGCGAAAUUCCUUGUCGGGUAAGUUCCGACCNGCACGAAUGGCGUAACGAUCUCCCCGCUGUCUCAACCGUGUGCUCAGCGAAUUUGAAAACCGCGUGCAGAUGCGCGGUACCCGCAGCAAGACGGAAAGACCCCGUGAACCUUUACUAUAGCUUGACACUGGUAUUCGGACUGAUUUGUGUAGCAUAGGUGGGAGGCUUUGAAGUGUAGACGCUAGUUUACAUGGAGCCAAUAGUGAAAUACCACCCUGAUCACUCUGGAUAUCUAACCUAGUCCCAUUAUCUGGGACGGAGACAGUGUCUGGUGGGUAGUUUGACUGGGGCGGUCGCCUCCUAAAGUGUAACGGAGGCGCGCAAAGGUUCCCUCAGGCCGGAUAGAAAUCGGUUGUAGAGUGCAAACGCAUAAGGGAGCUUGACUGCAAGACUUACAAGUCGAGCAGAUACGAAAGUAGGCGUUAGUGACCCGGUGGCUCCGCAUGGAAGGGCCAUCGCUCAACGGAUAAAAGGUACUCCGGGGAUAACAGGCUGAUCUCCUCCAAGAGUUCACAUCGACGAGGAGGUUUGGCACCUCGAUGUCGGCUCAUCACAUCCUGGGGCUGAAGCAGGUCCCAAGGGUUUGGCUGUUCGCCAAUUAAAGUGGUACGCGAGCUGGGUUCAGAACGUCGUGAGACAGUUCGGUCCCUAUCUGCUGUGGGCGUAGGAAAUUUGACAGGAUCUGACCUUAGUACGAGAGGACCGGGUUGGACACACCAAUGGUGUACCAGUUGUCACGCCAGUGGCAUGGCUGGGUAGCUACGUGUGGUAAGGAUAACCGCUGAAAGCAUCUAAGUGGGAAGCCUACCUGAAGAUAAGAUUUCCCUGGCCUUUU
Molecule: ribosomal RNA, 2818 nt
Filed under: metagenome
Description: bacterial LSU rRNA
Rfam family: Bacterial large subunit ribosomal RNA
Source: RNAcentral